CCUGAUCUCUCCUGGUGCAUAGAUUUGAUCCCUGCGUCUAGCACCAUUUGAAAUCAGUUU
RNAcentral lists this microRNA precursor (60 nucleotides) under Melibe leonina. RNAcentral's name for it is "microRNA mle-mir-29a precursor". Its record names the gene mle-mir-29a. The record is from miRBase by way of RNAcentral. Lineage: Eukaryota; Metazoa; Mollusca; Gastropoda; Nudibranchia; Dendronotidae.